This 513-nucleotide ribosomal RNA is filed under the name uncultured bacterium. RNAcentral's name for it is "partial 16S ribosomal RNA". It matches the Rfam family "Bacterial small subunit ribosomal RNA", at positions 28 to 523 of the family's 1533-position model. The record is from RNAcentral.
GACGAACGCUGGCGGCAUGCCUAAUACAUGCAAGUCGAGCGAACAGAUGAAGUGCUUGCACUUCCGACGUUAGCGGCGAACGGGUGAGUAACACGUAAGGAAUCUACCUAUAAGCGGGGGAUAACAUUCGGAAACGGGUGCUAAUACCGCAUAAUAUCUUCUUCCGCACGGAAGAAGAUUGAAAGACGGCUCUGCUGUCACUUAUAGAUGACCUUGCGGUGCAUUAGUUAGUUGGUGGGGUAAUGGCCUACCAAGACGAUGAUGCAUAGCCGACCUGAGAGGGUGAUCGGCCACAUUGGGACUGAGACACGGCCCAAACUCCUACGGGAGGCAGCCGUAGGGAAUCUUCCGCAAUGGGCGAAAGCCUGACGGAGCAAUGCCGCGUGAGUGAAGAAGGCCUUCGGGUCGUAAAACUCUGUUAUAAGAGAAGAACAAAUUGUAGAGUAACUGCUACAGUCUUGACGGUAUCUUAUCAGAAAGCCACGGCUAACUACGUGCCAGCCGCCGCCGUAA